AUAUUGGACAAUGGUCGCAAGCCUGAUCCAGCAAUGCCGCGUGUGUGAAGAAGGCCCUCGGGUUGUAAAGCACUUUUAUCAGGAGCGAAAUCUGCAAGGUUAUUAUCUUUGCAGUCUGACGGUACCUGAGGAAUAAGCACCUGCUCACUCCGUGCCAGCAGCCGCGGUAAUACGGAGGGUGCAAGCGUUAAUCGGACUUACUGGGCGUAAAGCGUGCGUAGGCGGUUCGUUAAGUCUGCUGUGAAAGCCCCGGGCUCAACCUGGGAAUGGCAGUGGAUACUGGCGAGCUAGAGUGUGAUAGAGGAUGGUGGAAUUCCCGGUGUAGCGGUGAAAUGCGUAGAGAUCGGGAGGAACAUCAGUGGCGAAGGCGGCCAUCUGGAUCAACACUGACGCUGAGGCACGAAAGCGUGGGGAGCAAACAG
Molecule: ribosomal RNA, 422 nt
Filed under: uncultured bacterium
Lineage: Bacteria
Description: bacterial SSU rRNA
Rfam family: Bacterial small subunit ribosomal RNA
Source: RNAcentral